ACAAGCGGUGGAGCAUGUGGUUUAAUUCGAUGAUACGCGAGGACCUUACCUGGGCUCAAAUGUAUGUUUGACGUAUUCUGAAAGGGAUACUUCUUCGGACAAUAUACAAGGUGCUGCAUGGUUGUCGUCAGCUCGUGCCGUGAGGUGUCGGGUUAAGUCCCAUAACGAGCGCAACCCCUAUCAUUAGUUGCCAUCAGGUCAAGCUGGGGACUCUAAUGAAACUGCCUACGCAAGUAGUGAGGAAGGUGGGGAUGACGUCAAAUCAGCACGGCCCUUACGUCCAGGGCUACACACGUGCUACAAUGGCCGGUACAAAGGGCAGCUACCUGGUGACAGGAUGCUAAUCUCAAAAGCCGGUCUCAGUUCGGAUCGGAGUCUGCAACCCGACUCCGUGGAGCUGGAAUCGCUAGUAAUCGCGCAUCAGCCAUGGCGCGGUGAAUACGUUCCCGGGCCUU
This 455-nucleotide ribosomal RNA is filed under the name uncultured Sphingobacteriales bacterium. RNAcentral's name for it is "bacterial SSU rRNA". It matches the Rfam family "Bacterial small subunit ribosomal RNA", at positions 925 to 1382 of the family's 1533-position model. Lineage: Bacteria; Pseudomonadati; Bacteroidota; Sphingobacteriia; Sphingobacteriales. The record is from RNAcentral.